This 983-nucleotide long non-coding RNA is filed under the name Aquilegia coerulea. RNAcentral's name for it is "long non-coding RNA (ACOE_LNC000526)". The record is from RNAcentral. Lineage: Eukaryota; Viridiplantae; Streptophyta; Magnoliopsida; Ranunculales; Ranunculaceae.
CACAAAGGACUUACAAAGAUAAAGCCCGAAGGCUACUGAUGCUACCACCUAAGGGUUCACACUGCCACCUUGCAACUCGAGCAAUUCUGUUAUUCAAGGACUUGUUUUCGCUGAAGAACUACACGAGAAAUUCCCUCACAUAGUACAACAUAAUUAACAUAAGUUGGAGGUGGAAUGGAUGAAUUCUUUCUUGAAUAAAUUAAAAUUUUAUUAAUAUCCAAAAAAGUUUACAACCUGAUGAGCAUGCGGGGUAGAUUUAAUAGCCAACAACUAUUAGCUCAGUUGAUAAAGGCACCCCUCCCCAAGUGGGAGGUUGUGGGUUCAAUUUCUCUUGACUGUGGUUGGAUGAAUUUUACCCAUGUAAUUUUAACCAUGCUGGAUUAGCCUUUGUGCCUUGUUCGUGGUCGGCCUUAGGGUCUAGGAUUCAAAGGAGAUUGAGCAACAAUAUGAAGGACGUCUUCAGCAUGAGAGCUUCAACUCUGGCAUGAUCAAGACAACUGUUGGAGAUGACAAACAGAGUUGAGUGUGUGAUGGAGAGGGUAACCUAACUGCAGGUUUGAUUUACCCAGACCUUGCGAUGUAAGCUAUGGUAGAAGAAUAAUCUCCCAAUUUUUGAUCAAGUACGCAAAUGUGAACUCUGUAUUUAAAGUAAAGCCACCCCUCCCAAAACUGCAGGUUUAAUUUACCCAGACCUUGCGAUGUAAGUUAUGUAGAAGACUAAUCUCCCAAUUUCUGAUUAAGUACAGAAAUGUGAACUCUGUAUUAAAGUAAAGCCACCCUCCCAAAACUGCAGGUUUAAUUUACCCAGACCUUGCAAUAUAAGCUAUGGUAGAAGACUAAUCUCACAAUUUCAAAUCAAGUAUGCAAAUGUGAACUCUGUAUUUAAAGUAAAGCCACCCUCCCAAAACUGCAGGUUUAAUUUACCCAGACCUUGCGAUGUAAGCUAUGGUCGAAGGCUUAUCUCCCAAUUUCUGAUCAAGUCU